GGGCGACUAGCUCAACUGGUUAGAGCGCGUCGUUGACAUCGACGAGGUAACAGGUUCGACCCCUGUGUCGCCCACCA
This 77-nucleotide transfer RNA is filed under the name bacterium. Its description in RNAcentral is "tRNA-Val". The record is from RNAcentral.